AAAACAAGUAAGUAAAUAGUAAGUAAAUAAGUAAGUAAGUAAGUAAUACAAGCAAGUAAAUAAGAAAAGUAAGUAAGUAAAUAAGUAAGUAAAUAAGAAAAGUAAUAAGUAAAUAAGUAAAUAAGUAAGCACUUACUGACUGACUUGCUGAAGUGAGUAAGUAAAUAAGUAUUUAAGUAAGUAUGAAAGGAAGUAAGUGAAUAAAUAAGUAUGUAAGGAAGUCAGCAGGGUAUGUAAAACGUAAGUAUAGAAAUAUCUAAAUACAUAUGCAAGGAAGCAGUUUUAACACACAGGAAAUAAGAAACAUUCGCUUCUAAAAAUAAUAACGCAUCACCGGAACGUGUAGCGCCUCCGGGAUAACAAGCUUCUGAAGGAAGAAAUCAAACGAGAUAUCUUGAGGCUCAUACACAAGGCGGAAUCUGUGAAAUAUCCAAACACGACGCCUGCAAAACACACGGCCGCUUAAUGGAGCAAGACCUAACGAUUAGGAGACGCUGACUGAUGAGAUUAAGAUGUUAACGCUGCUUUACGG
Ictalurus punctatus (channel catfish) is the source of this 532-nucleotide long non-coding RNA. Lineage: Eukaryota; Metazoa; Chordata; Actinopteri; Siluriformes; Ictaluridae. The record is from Ensembl.